CGGGUUGUGGCUCAGUUUGGUAGAGCGCUGCGUUCGGGACGCAGAGGUCGCAAGUUCAAAUCUUGUCAACCCGACCA
This 77-nucleotide transfer RNA is filed under the name Eggerthellaceae bacterium. Its description in RNAcentral is "tRNA-Pro". It matches the Rfam family "tRNA". From Rfam's summary of the family: Transfer RNA (tRNA) molecules are approximately 80 nucleotides in length. Their secondary structure includes four short double-helical elements and three loops (D, anti-codon, and T loops). The record is from RNAcentral. Lineage: Bacteria; Bacillati; Actinomycetota; Coriobacteriia; Eggerthellales; Eggerthellaceae. RNAcentral also lists the same sequence under 1 other name.